RNAcentral lists this ribosomal RNA (579 nucleotides) under uncultured bacterium. RNAcentral describes it as "bacterial SSU rRNA". It matches the Rfam family "Bacterial small subunit ribosomal RNA", at positions 338 to 916 of the family's 1533-position model. The record is from RNAcentral.
CCUACGGGAGGCAGCAGUAAGGAAUAUUGGUCAAUGGACGCAAGUCUGAACCAGCCAUGCCGCGUGAAGGAUUAAGGCCCUCUGGGUUGUAAACUUCUUUUAUAGGGGACGAAAAAAGGGCAUUCUUGCUCACUUGACGGUACCCUAGGAAUAAGCACCGGCUAACUCCGUGCCAGCAGCCGCGGUAAUACGGAGGGUGCAAGCGUUAUCCGGAUUUACUGGGUUUAAAGGGUGCGUAGGUGGGUUGGUAAGUCAGUGGUGAAAUCUUCGAGCUUAACUCGGAAACUGCCAUUGAUACUAUCAAUCUUGAAUCAUCUAGAGGUAAGCGGAAUAUGUCAUGUAGCGGUGAAAUGCUUAGAUAUGACAUAGAACACCAAUUGCGAAGGCAGCUUACUAUGGAUGUAUUGACACUGAGGCACGAAAGCGUGGGGAUCAAACAGGAUUAGAUACCCUGGUAGUCCACGCCCUAAACGAUGGAUACUCGACAUUUGUGAUAUACUAUAAGUGUCUGAGCGAAAGCAUUAAGUAUCCCACCUGGGAAGUACGACCGCAAGGUUGAAACGUCAAAUGAAUUGACGG